RNAcentral lists this long non-coding RNA (253 nucleotides) under Mytilus galloprovincialis (Mediterranean mussel). Lineage: Eukaryota; Metazoa; Mollusca; Bivalvia; Mytilida; Mytilidae. The record is from RNAcentral.
GUUCGGUAAACAGGAAGUUGUCAAGUGAUGAAUCUGAAAACGCAUCACACGGUAUGGCUGACAUAUAUAAAUGUUGAUACCAAAUUACAGAAAGGGUGGAUGUGUAGUUCCUGAGAAAAAUGUGACGAAAGUUUCAUGGGACGGACUGACUGACGGACUGACGGACGGACGGACGGACGGACGGACUGACAGACAGAGGUAAAACAGUAUACCCCCCCUUUUUUAAAGCGGGUUUAAAGCGGGGGUAUAAAAA